AACAUGUUGGAUCACCAAAUUCACCUUUGGAAGGUCAUUCUCCAAACGCACCCAAUGAAAAUGGUUCGUCGUUCCUACCACAUUCUCCAUCAUCGUCACCUGGUCAAGAAGAAAGUGUGGAGAGUCCUUCAGGUUCCGCUAGGGAAACACCUACAAACGAAGCAAGUUUCAUUGGAAGAUCACCAAAUAAUGAAGAUCAUUUGAAAACAUCAAGUGGGGCUCCUUCGUCAACACCUACAAUUGGAAAAUCAAUUCCAUCGUUGGAACCACAACAAGAAGACAUGGCAUCUCCUCAACCAGUUUCUUCUCGACUAACACCGACAAAUAAUGAAAAUCGUGUGAAACGAAAGGGUCAAACAACAACUCAACAUGUUGGAUCACCAAAGACACCUUCGGAAGGUCAUUCUCCAAACGCACCCAAUGAAAAUGUUUCGUCGUUCCUACCACAUUCUCCAUCAUCGUCACCUGGUCAAGAAGAAAGUGUGGAGAGUCCUUUAGGUUCCGCUAGGGAAACACCUACAAACGAAGCAAGUUUCAUUGGAAGAUCACCAAAUAAUGAAGAUCAUUUGAAAAUAUCAAGUGGGGCUCCUUCUUCAACACCUACAAUUGGAAAAUCAAUUCCAUCGUUGGAACCACAACAAGAAGACAUGGCAUCUCCUCAACCAGUUUCUUCUCGACUAACACCGACAAAUAAUGAAAAUCGUGUGAAACGAAAGGGUGAAACAACAACUCAACAUGUUGGAUCACCAAAGACACCUUCGGAAGGUCAUUCUCCAAACGCAGCCAAUGAAAAUGGAUCGUCGUUCCUACCACAUUCUCCAUCAUCGUCACCUGGUCAAGAAGAAAGUGUGGAGAGUCCUUUAGGUUCCGCUAGGGAAACACCUACAAACGAAGCAAGUUUCAUUGGAAGAUCACCAAAUAAUGAAGAUCAUUUGAAAACAUCAAGUGGGGCUCCUUCUUCAACACCUACAAUUGGAAAAUCAAUUCCAUCGUUGGAACCACAACAAGAAGACAUGGCAUCUCCACAAACAGGAUCUCCUCGACUAACACCGACAGAUAAUAAAAAUCAUGUGAAACGAAAGGGUCAAACAACAACGCAACAUGUUAGAUCACCAAAUUCACCUUUGGAAGGUCAUUCUCCAAACGCACCCAAUGAAAAUGGUUCGUCGUUCCUACCACAUUCUCCAUCAUCGUCACCUGGUCAAGAAGAAAGUGUGGAGAGUCCUUCAGGUUCCGCUAGGGAAACACCUACAAACGAAGCAAGUUUCAUUGGAAGAUCACCAAAUAAUGAAGUACAUUUGAAAACAUCAAGUGGGGUUCCUUCGUCAACACCUACAAUUGGAAAAUCAAUUCCAUCGUUGGAACCACAACAAGAAGACAUGGCAUCUCCUCAACCAGUUUCUUCUCGACUAACACCGACAAAUAAUGAAAAUCGUGUGAAACGAAAGGGUGAAACGACAACGCAACAUGUUGGAUCACCAAAUUCACCUUUGGAAGGUCAUUCUCCAAACGCACCCAAUGAAAAUGGUUCGUCGUUCCAACCACAUUCUCCAUCAUCGUCACCUGGUCAAGAAGAAAGUGUGGAGAGUCCUUCAGGUUCCGCUAGGGAAACACCUACAAACGAAGCAAGUUUCAUUGGAAGAUCACCAAAUAAUAAUGAAGAUCAUUUGAAAACAUCAAGUGGGGCUCCUUCGUCAACACCUACAAUUGGUAAAUCAAUUCCAUCGUUGGAACCACAACAAGAAGACAUGGCAUCUCCACAAACAGGAUCUCCUCGACGAACACCGACAGAUAAUAAAAAUCAUGUGAAACGAAAGGGUCAAACAACAACGCAACAUGUUAGAUCACCAAAUUCACCUUUGGAAGGUCAUUCUCCAAACGCACCCAAUGAAAAUGGUUCGUCGUUCCUACCACAUUCUCCAUCAUCGUCACCUGGUCAAGAAGAAAGUGUGGAGAGUCCUUCAGGUUCCGCUAGGGAAACACCUACAAACGAAGCAAGUUUCAUUGGAAGAUCACCAAAUAAUGAAGAUCAUUUGAAAACAUCAAGUGGGGCUCCUUCGUCAACACCUACAAUUGGAAAAUCAAUUCCAUCGUUGGAACCACAACAAGAAGACAUGGCAUCUCCUCAACCAGUUUCUUCUCGACUAACCCCGACAAAUAAUGAAAAUCGUGUGAAACGAAAGGGUGAAACAACAACUCAACAUGUUGGAUCACCAAAGACACCUUUGGAAGGUCAUUCUCCAAACGCACCCAAUGAAAAUGGAUCGUCGUUCCUACCACAUUCUCCAUCAUCGUCACCUGGUCAAGAAGAAAGUGUGGAGAGUCCUUCAGGUUCCGCUAGGGAAACACCUACAAACGAAGCAAGUUUCAUUGGAAGAUCACCAAAUAAUAAUGAAGAUCAUUUGAAAAUAUCAAGUGAGGCUCCUUCGUCAACACCUACAAUUGGUAAAUCAAUUCCAUCGUUGGAACCACAACAAGAAGACAUGGCAUCUCCACAAACAGGAUCUCCUCGACUAACACCGACAGAUAAUGAAAAUCAUGUGAAACGAAAGGGUCAAACAACAACGCAACAUGUUGGAUCACCAAAGACACCUUUGGAAGGUCAUUCUCCAAACGCACCCAAUGAAAAUGGAUUGUCGUUCCUACCACAUUCUCCAUCAUCGUCACCUGGUCAAGAAGAAAGUGUGGAGAGUCCUUCAGGUUCCGCUAGGGAAACACCAACAAACGAAGCAAGUUUCAUUGGAAGAUCACCAAAUAAUGAAGAUCAUUUGAAAACAUCAAGUGGGGCUCCUUCGUCAACACCUACAAUUGGAAAAUCAAUUCCAUCGUUGGAACCACAACAAGAAGACAUGGCAUCUCCUCAACCAGUUUCUUCUCGACUAACACCGACAAAUAAUGAAAAUCGUGUGAAACGAAAGGGUGAAACAACAACUCAACAUGUUGGAUCACCAAAUUCACCUUUGGAAGGUCAUUCUCCAAACGCACCCAAUGAAAAUGGUUCGUCGUUCCAACCACAUUCUCCAUCAUCGUCACCUGGUCAAGAAGAAAGUGUGGAGAGUCCUUUAGGUUCCGCUAGGGAAACACCUACAAACGAAGCAAGUUUCAUUGGAAGAUCACCAAAUAAUGAAGAUCAUUUGAAAACAUCAAGUGGGGCUCCUUCGUCAACACCUACAAUUGGUAAAUCAAUUCCAUCGUUAGAACCACAACAAGAAGACAUGGCAUCUCCACAAACAGGAUCUCCUCGACUAACACCGACAGAUAAUAAAAAUCAUGUGAAACGAAAGGGUCAAACAACAACGCAACAUGUUAGAUCACCAAAUUCACCUUUGGAAGGUCAUUCUCCAAACGCACCCAAUGAAAAUGGUUCGUCGUUCCUACCACAUUCACCAUCAUCGUCACCUGGUCAAGAAGAAAGUGUGGAGAGUCCUUCAGGUUCCGCUAGGGAAACACCUACAAACGAAGCAAGUUUCAUUGGAAGAUCACCAAAUAAUAAUGAAGAUCAUUUGAAAACAUCAAGUGAGGCUCCUUCGUCAACACCUACAAUUGGUAAAUCAAUUCCAUCGUUGGAACCACAACAAGAAGACAUGGCAUCUCCACAAACAGGAUCUCCUCGACUAACACCGACAGAUAAUAAAAAUCAUGUGAAACGAAAGGGUCAAACAACAACGCAACAUGUUAGAUCACCAAAUUCACCUUUGGAAGGUCAUUCUCCAAACGCACCCAAUGAAAAUGGUUCGUCGUUCCUACCACAUUCUCCACCAUCGUCACCUGAUCAUGAAGAAAUUGUGGAGAGUCCUUCAGGUUCUGCUAGGGAAACACCUACAAACGAAGCAAGUUUCAUUAGAAGAUCACCAAAUAAUGAAGAUCAUUUGAAAACAUCAAGUGGGGCUCCUUCGUCAACACCUACAAUUGGUAAAUCAAUUCCAUCGUUGGAACCAAAACAAGAAGACAUGGCAUCUCCUCAAACAGGAUCUCCUCUGCCAACACCGACAAAUAAAGAAAAACGUGUGAAACGAAAGGGUCAAACGACAACGCAACAUGUUGGAUCACGAAAUUCACCUUUGGAAGGUGAUUCUCCAAACGCACCCAAUGAAAAUGGUUCGUCGUUUCAACCACAUUCUCCAUCAUCGUCACCUGACCAUGAAGAAAGUGUGGAGAGUCCUUCAGGUUUUGGUAGGGAAACACCUACAAACGAAGCAAGUUUCAUUGGAAGAUCACCAAAUAAUGAAGUUCAUUUGAAAACAUCAAGUGGGGCUCCUUCGUCAACACCUACAAUUGGACAAUCAAUUCCAUCGUUGGAACCACAACAAGAAGAUAUGGCAUCUCCACAACCAGUUUCUUCUCGACUAACACCGACAAAUAAUGAAAAUCGUGUGAAACGAAAGGGUCAAAUAACAACUCAACAUGUUGGAUCACCAAAGACACCUUUGAAAGGUCAUUCUCCAAACGCACCCAAUGAAAAUGGUUCGUCGUUCCAACCACAUUCUCCAUCAUCGUCACCUGACCACGAAGAAAGUGUGGAAAGUCCUUCAGGUUUUGGUAGGGAAACAAGUACAAACGAAGCAAGUUUAAUUGGAAGAUCACCAAAUAAUGAAGAUCAUUUGAAAACAUCAAGUGGGGCUCCUUCGUCAACACCUACAAUUGGAAAAUCAAUUCCAUCAUUGGAACCCCAACAAGAAGACAUGACAUCUCCACAUAUCGGAUCUCCUCGACCAACACCGACAAGCAAUGAAAAUCGUGUGAAACGAAAGGGUCAAACAACAACGCAACAUGUUGGAUCACCAAAGACAUCUUUCGAAGGUCAUUCUCCAAAUGCACCCAGUGAAAAUGGUAAAUCCUUCCAACCAAAGACACCUUUGGAAGGACAUUCUCCAAAUGCACCCAAUGAAAAUGGUUCGUCGUUCCAACCACAUUCUCCUUCAUCGUCACCUGAUCACGAAGAAAGUGAGGAGAGUCCUUCAGGUUCUGCUAGUGGAACACCUACAAAUGAAGCAAGUUCCAUUGGAAGAUCUCCAAAUAAUGAAGAUCAUUUGAAAACAUCAAUUGAGGCUCCUUCGUCAAAACCUACAAUUGGUAAAUGGAUUCCAUCGUUGGAACCACAACAAGAAGACAUGACAUUUCCACAAACCGGAUCUCCUCGACUAACACCUACAAAUAAUGAAAAUCGUGUGAAACGAAAGGGUCAAACAACAACGCAACAUGUUGGAUCACCAAAGACACCUUUGGAAGGUCGUUCUCCAAAUGUACCCAAUGAAAAUGGUUCGUUGUUCCAACCACAUUCUCCAUCAUUGUCACCUGACCACGAAAAAAGUGUGGAAAGUCCUUCAGGUUUUGCUAGGGAAACCCCUACAAAUGAAGCAAGUUUUAUUGGAAGAUCACCAAAUAAUGAAGUACAUUUGAAAACUUCAAGUGGUGCUCCUUCGUUAACACCGGAAAUUGGUAAAUCGAUUCCAUCGUUGGAGCCUCAACAAGAAGACAUGGCAUCUCCACAGAUAGGAUCUCCUCUGCCAACACCGACAAAUAAUGAAAAUCGUGUGAAACGAAAGGGUCAAACAACAUCGCAACAACAUGUUGGAUCACCAAAGACACCUUUGGAAGGUCAUUCUCCAAAUACAUCCAAUGAAAAUGGUUCGCCUUUCCAACCACAUACCCCAUCAUCGUCACCUGACCACAAAGAAAGUGUGGAGAGUCCUUCAGGUUCUGCUAGGGAAACACCAACAAAUGAAGCAAGUUUCAUUGUAAGAUCACCAAAUAAUGAAGAACAUUUGAAAACUUCAAGUGGUGCUCCUUCGUUAACACCUGAAAAUGGUAAAUCGAUUCCAUCGUUGGAGCCACAACAA
RNAcentral lists this long non-coding RNA (5840 nucleotides) under Zostera marina. RNAcentral's name for it is "long non-coding RNA (ZMAR_LNC004438)". The record is from RNAcentral. Lineage: Eukaryota; Viridiplantae; Streptophyta; Magnoliopsida; Alismatales; Zosteraceae.